CCCAACCUGGCUGCCUGCAGACUCCUGGGUCUGGGGCUGCUGAACGCUGCGAGGAUGGGCAAGACCCUCCUACCUUACCUGCCCGACUCUAGCCCAGGCCUGGGAUGGCUCACAGGGCCGAGGCCAAAGAUCCUGAGAGGCCAGCAGCUGUUCCCCGGGGGCUGGGUGCCCAGGCCCAGCUUCCAGGAACAGGCGUCAGGAGAGUCCUGGAGUCUGGACGCAGCCUCAGCCUGUCACGGCGUGGCCCUAGUGCUGCGGUGAUCCUAGAGGUGCCGGCUGCUCCGGCUCCGAUCAGCUCCCCCUAGAGGAAGCUGCUGUGUGGCCGCCGGAUGCGGAUGCUGAGCCCGUGGCUUGGGGGUCGGUCUAGGCUCUCACGUGGGGGAGGCGCUCCACCCCCCACACUUGGCCCCGGUCAGGCAGUGUGGCUUCCCCUCUCCCACUCCUGAUGCCCAGUCCCGGCCUUUGAUCUUCACCCCCUUUCAUCAAACAGUACCAAUAAAAAAGCCAGGAUGGCAGAGUUUCUUAAGCACCACAGUGUGCCUUGCACUUUAGCGAGGGACACUUAUCCCUCUGAAUCUUUUCAGUAACCCCUGGAAGUAGGUUCUGUCCACUACACCUGUUUUACAGAUGAACAAACUGAGACUCAGCGGGUUUAAGGAACUCCCUAGGUCACUAAGCUGGAUUUAUAAUCAAGUCUGUGGAUGCCGUGGGGAAUAAUACCACUAAAUUGAGAUUCCACGUGCAAUUGAGAUGUGUACCCAAGGCACCUUGGUGGUCUCCAGAGAUUCAAAAUCCUGAAGGUGACAGACAGGUAGACAGAGAUGAAAACAGGGGUGUCUGGGUACCACCUGGGCACGUGCCAGUGGAUGCUGCAAGGAGAGAAGAGAGGAAGGACAGAUAGCUGUAGGGACUGGUUCUCAAGGGCAGGGGCAGCCCCGACCAGGGAAGGACAAGCCAGGUAGAGAGGGGUGUGUACAGAGGCCCCAAGAGCCCCUGCCCCCUUCUCCGUCCAGGUACCUCCAGCUUCCUCUACCGGCCCCCCCACCCCCCAUGCCUCCUGGAGCCUACCCCAAAUCCACUGCCUCAUACCUCCUUCCCCUGCCUCAUGACUCUUCCCUCUCUGCCCCCAGCUAAUCCCCCCUACCAUGUCUUCCUCCCAGCCUCCCCAUCCCCCCCACCCUCCAUCUGACCUUUGCCUUCUAGAACUCCUGGAAGUUUCCAACUGGAGGUUUUAAUUUGGAAACUCCUCCUGUUCUUAAGCAGUUGGUGGAGGUGGCUGCUACGGCCCCUCCCUUGGAGUCAGGGUCCCUCAGGAUGGAGACCCCAGCUUCAACCCCUCAAUCCCGAAUUUUGGGCCGCUCCUCCAUGUUCCGCUUUUUCCGUAGCCUGGUGGGGAGCAAGGGCAGCCUAAAGAGCUCUGACAAGGGCCUGAUGGGGAGUCAGGCAUGCCCCUCACAAGAGCAAGAUGCCACCCCCCUGAUGAUAAACUGCCAGGGAGGGGUGGGGAGGAAGGAGCUGAGGCCGCCCACCACACUGUCCUACACGCUCUCUGUGGCUUUGCCACAGCACAAUUCCUUGGGGCUAGGGAUGGGGGACACAGGGGCCCAGAUCCCCACUCCCAUGGAGGUCCUGAGAGUGGGGGCCCAGGGUAGAGAGGUGAAACCCAUCCUGUCCAGGGGAAGCCAGAAGAUGCUGGGCAGCCCAUCGGAGAAGAAGGAAAGGGAAAAGAAAGAGAAGGCAGUAGGGGAGGCCUCCGGAGAUACAAGGACCUCAGACAAGGGCCACUUUGUCCAAGCAUUGGAGGUGGAACAGCAUCCCCACAGAGGGCUGUGGGGCCACUGGAGGUCUGCCCCAAGACCUUCACCAGGGAGGAGAAGGAGUGUCUGCUUGACGGAGACCUCAGGCUGGCCUCUUCGAAGGUCGGGGCAACUCCUUGGAACUGACUCCUCACCUUGUACAAGCAGCUUCAGAAAUCAGCCAUGGCCAAAGUUUCUUCUCAAGGAAAGCUUGUCUGAUGAGGAGAAAGGCAAGGAAGAGGAAAUGGAGGAAGAUGACAGCUCCUUCAAGCUCUGUGUCCCAGGCAUUGUCCCCCUGCAGUCACCGCUGCAUAAGACUUUCAGAUCAACAAAUACAGUGGGGAAGUGCAGCGUGCAACCCGCCCUCAGGCCCAGAGGGCUCCCCUUUGACUGAGGCUCAUGGGUGUGAUACCAGUUCUUACCACCAGGUUUCGUGGAGUCGGAGUUAAAGAAGCUUCUGAUAGUUCAACGGGAGUCUGGUCUCUGGAAGAUGGGCAGCCAUGAGGGCCAAGAGCUGCUGACCCAGCCAGAGAUCACCCUGGAGGAGGCGGGCAUUGUGGAUGGCCAGCACUUGCUCCUGGAGGAGAUGGACGAGAUGGGAAACUGGCCCCCAUAGUGAAGCUGGUGUUGGCCCGAGUUUGCUUGCUCCCAGGUCCCUUCAGCCCCAGUAGAAGUUUAGCCUCUCUCAUGAGGGCACACCCGAGGCGCCCCUGGGGCCAAGGGGUCUUAAGAUCAAUGGUAUUCAUGCAUCUGCAGGGUGGGCUGCCCAGCAGUGUCUCCACCCACCAGACUCAGGCCUGUGCUAUUAUUAAUAAAACCCUCUUUGACUUUGGCCUCCUUGGCUAUCUCUGGAGCUCACUCCUCAUCCUCAGGCUAGGUGCCAGCUCAGUUUACCCAGGAUCUCAGUCUAGCCCUCAGUGUGGCAGCCCUAACCACAGAGCCCUGGGUUCUAGCGGAGGGGCUGCAGUGGGGCAUCUAAGCUGCAGGGUCAGAGGCUUGGUGUACCUGCCUGGGUGGUCCAGAAUGCCAGGGAAGCCCCUGUGACCACAGGGCCAGACCCUGUGAGUGGGAGCAUCCCUGACUUCCCUCCCUCCAAAGUUCCCAAGCCAGGCAGGCGGCCUCACGGGGAAGAUCCGGGAAUUCUGCAGCAGGAAGUUCCUGCCCAGCUACCACAGGGACAAAGCCAGGAAAGCAGCCUUGGGGUCAUGGGGAGCUGCUUGGAGACUGGGCUGGGGGCAGAGUGCCUCAGCUGUGACCCUUCCCUGCCCCCUCAGAAGGGCAUGGCUCACCCCUUGCUGCAGGACCUCUUCCAUAUUAUCCAGAAACAGAGGCUGGAAUAGGAGCAGAUCCUGUUUGGUGGGCGAACCCCUAGAUUUCAGCCAUUCCCAGCUUCGGCCAAGGAGCCCAGGCAAGGAAGGGCCGGAUCACAGGGCUCCAGCCCUGCCAAGGCCCAGGAUGGACAGAGAGUGGAGGUGGGCUUCCUGGAAGUUUCCUGCUGGCUCUUGGAACUUGGGGGUGAUGCUUUGAACGUCUUUAUUUCUAUUUAUUUGGGGUUAGAAGCUGUAUAUUCACAUAGUCCAAAAUUCAAAAGUUAAGAAGGGAGUGAGCCAAAGGUAAUUUCCUCCCAAUGGAGCCCCAUCCCCUCUUUGGUUCCCCCUCCUAGAGGCCCCUGCAAUUGCUGGCUCCUUGUGAAUCCUGAGUUCAGGAUUUCUUACUAGAGCUUGCCAUCCCCUCUCUUCCCCCUCUGGGAGAGGUUCCGGUGGGAGGUGGGUAUGAGGAGAUAUCCAGCCAUUGACACUGGGGCCUGGAUAAGGCACCCAAUUGCCCUGGGGAUGGUGGUGACCUCCUUCCUGGGUCUGAACUUGGCCCCAGCUUCCUAGCAUCCUGCUCGAGCCACCCAGGAGGGGUGGGGCCCAUUACUUCUUUUCACCUCUUUAGCUCAGCAUCCCUGGAAGUUCCCUGCCCUCCACCUAGGAGACCCAGGCACCUGACAGACACCCCGAGCUGGGGCUCCCACAGUAUCCUUUUAUCUCCUGAUGUAAUUUAUUUAUUUAUUUUUAAAGAUUAUAUUUAUUUACUCAUGAGAGACACAGAGGAAGAGGCAGGCUCUCCGCAGGGAGCCCGAUGUGGGACUAGAUCCCAGACCCAGGAUCACGCCCUGAGCCAAAGGCAGACGCUCAACCACUGAGACACCCACGUGUCCCUCCUGAUGUAAUUUAUAUACUCUCGCCAUCUUCUUUCUCCUUGACUGUUCAAAUCUUGGGGUGCCUGGCUGGCUCAGUUGGCAGAGCAUGCGACUCUUGAUCUCAGGGCUGUGAGUUCGAGCCCCAUGUUAGUGUAGAGCUUAUUUUUUAAAAAAAUUAAACAUGGCUUUGUUAAGCAUUUAUUAUGUGCCUGACCUGGCCUGGAGACAUAAAGUGAAGUGGACAUAGUGGCCUGCUCCAGUGAAGAGCUCACAGUUGCCUGGGGGAGGGCCAGAAAGCGGAGAGAUCAUUACAGUUCAAGAUAGCCCGUGAUAUGUUCCUUGGUAGUAUGGGGGGGGGUAUAAAUUCCACAUUAAAGAGUCUGACAAUGCCAGGUGUUGGUGAGGACAUGAGUCAGUGGGCACACUCCCAGUGGCUGAUGAGAGGGGGAAUUAGAACAGCCACUUUGCAGAGUGAUUUGGCAGUUCUAGGGAGGAACUUCCCUGUGAUCCAGCAAUUCUACUUUCUAAGCUCUUUCUCUAGAGUUUUUCAAAACCUCUGACAGUAUCCUCAAAUAAGCAUAUAUUGCACGUUCAUGACGAUGCAGUUCUCACCCUGAUAGUUACCCUGAUGACGUGUGAUGUAUGUUAUUUUUGAAUCAGUUUCGAGUUUUAAAAAUGCUGAUCUUCACCUGCUAAAUUGAUUUGACCCAUUAAUAGGUUUCAAGCCAUGGUUUGAACAAUGCUCUCAGGAGACAGGGAGGCUUACUGCAACAUUGCUGUCACAGCAAAAACUGAAAUAGGGCUUUCACGGUUACCAACAAAAUGGAUAUGGUGUUGUGACAUGGUCAGGAAUGGACUAUCACACUGUCACACUACUGCCCCAUGUAUUAAAAGAGACACACAGGGUGAAACCAUCUGAAGCCAUCUAGAAUGGAAAGCCCUGCAGAAUGAUGGUGAAUUGUGAUUAUAGUUGUGAUACACUCAUAUCAUUUAUGAAUACAUCCCUAUGUGGCAUAAGCAUAAAAACUGUACAAAGUGAAACCCAUAUCAGGAUAGUGGUCACCUCUGCAGGGAGAGGGAAGGGAAUGGGAUUGAGGAGGGAUAACAUAGGGGACUUCAACUCAAUUUUUAAGGUUCAGUUCUUUUUUUUUUAAAAGGUUCUAUUUUUUUAUUUGAGAGAGAAAGAGAGAGAAUGAGUUGGGGCAGGGCAGGGCCAAAGGAGAGGGAGAAGC
Molecule: RNA transcript, 5213 nt
Organism: Canis lupus familiaris (dog)
Lineage: Eukaryota; Metazoa; Chordata; Mammalia; Carnivora; Canidae
Gene: GGNBP1
Gene name: gametogenetin-binding protein 1-like
Exons: 8
Source: RefSeq, a predicted model, not a curated record